This 859-nucleotide ribosomal RNA is filed under the name uncultured bacterium. RNAcentral's name for it is "bacterial SSU rRNA". It matches the Rfam family "Bacterial small subunit ribosomal RNA", at positions 88 to 930 of the family's 1533-position model. The record is from RNAcentral.
AAAGCGAGCGGCGGAUGGGUGAGUAACACGUGGGGAACCUGCCCCUAAGUCUGGGACACCAUUUGGAAACAGGUGCUAAUACCGGAUAAUAAAGCAGAUCGCAUGAUCAGCUUUUGAAAGGCGGCGUAAGCUGUCGCUAAGGGAUGGCCCCGCGGUGCAUUAGCUAGUUGGUAAGGUAACGGCUUACCAAGGCGACGAUGCAUAGCCGAGUUGAGAGACUGAUCGGCCACAUUGGGACUGAGACACGGCCCAAACUCCUACGGGAGGCAGCAGUAGGGAAUCUUCCACAAUGGACGCAAGUCUGAUGGAGCAACGCCGCGUGAGUGAAGAAGGUUUUCGGAUCGUAAAGCUCUGUUGUUGGUGAAGAAGGAUAGAGGCAGUAACUGGCCUUUAUUUGACGGUAAUCAACCAGAAAGUCACGGCUAACUACGUGCCAGCAGCCGCGGUAAUACGUAGGUGGCAAGCGUUGUCCGGAUUUAUUGGGUGUAAAGCGAGCGCAGGCGGAAAAAUAAGUCUAAUGUGAAAGCCCUCGGCUUAACCGAGGAACUGCAUCGGAAACUGUUUUUCUUGAGUGCAGAAGAGGAGAGUGGAACUCCAUGUGUAGCGGUGGAAUGCGUAGAUAUAUGGAAGAACACCAGUGGCGAAGGCGGCUCUCUGGUCUGCAACUGACGCUGAGGCUCGAAAGCAUGGGUAGCGAACAGGAUUAGAUACCCUGGUAGUCCAUGCCGUAAACGAUGAGUGCUAAGUGUUGGGAGGUUUCCGCCUCUCAGUGCUGCAGCUAACGCAUUAAGCACUCCGCCUGGGGAGUACGACCGCAAGGUUGAAACUCAAAGGAAAUUGACGGGGGCCCCGCACAAGC